UACGGAGGGGGCUAGCGUUGUUCGGAAUUACUGGGCGUAAAGCGCACGUAGGCGGACCAGAAAGUUGGGGGUGAAAUACCGGGGCUCAACCUCGGAACUGCCUUCAAAACUAUUGGUCUUGAGUUCGAGAGAGGUGAGUGGAAUUCCGAGUGUAGAGGUGAAAUUCGUAGAUAUUCGGAGGAACACCAGUGGCGAAGGCGGCUCACUGGCUCGAUACUGACGCUGAGGUGCGAAAGCGUGGGGAGCAAACAGG
This 253-nucleotide ribosomal RNA is filed under the name uncultured bacterium. RNAcentral's name for it is "partial 16S ribosomal RNA". It matches the Rfam family "Bacterial small subunit ribosomal RNA", at positions 524 to 776 of the family's 1533-position model. The record is from RNAcentral.